GGAGGAAUAUUGGGUCAAAUGGGACGGGAGUCUGAACCAGCCAAGUAGCGUGCAGGACGACGGCCCUAUGGGUUGUAAACUGCUUUUAUAGGGGGAUAAAGUGUGCCACGUGUGGCAUAUUGCAGGUACCCCUAUGAAUAAGGACCGGCUAAUUCCGUGCCAGCAGCCGCGGUAAUACGGAAGGUCUGGGCGUUAUCCGGAUUUAUUGGGUUUAAAGGGAGCGUAGGCCGUAGAUUAAGCGUGUUGUGAAAUGCCGCGGCUCAACCGUGGCACUGCAGCGCGAACUGGUUUUCUUGAGUGCGCGCGACGCAGGCGGAAUUCGUGGUGUAGCGGUGAAAUGCUUAGAUAUCACGAGGAACCCCGAUUGCGAAGGCAGCUUGCGGGAGCGCAACUGACGCU
This 399-nucleotide ribosomal RNA is filed under the name uncultured Prevotella sp. RNAcentral's name for it is "bacterial SSU rRNA". It matches the Rfam family "Bacterial small subunit ribosomal RNA", at positions 355 to 747 of the family's 1533-position model. The record is from RNAcentral. Lineage: Bacteria; Pseudomonadati; Bacteroidota; Bacteroidia; Bacteroidales; Prevotellaceae.